GGAAUAUUGCACAAUGGGCGAAAGCCUGAUGCAGCGACGCCGCGUGAGGGAUGACGGCCUUCGGGUUGUAAACCUCUUUCAGUAGGGAACAAGGCCAGCAUUUUUGUUGGUUGAGGGUACUUGCAGAAGAAGCGCCGGCUAACUACGUGCCAGCAGCCGCGGUAAUACGUAGGGCGCAAGCGUUAUCCGGAAUUAUUGGGCGUAAAGAGCUCGUAGGCGGUUUGUCGCGUCUGCCGUGAAAGUCCGGGGCUCAACUCCGGAUCUGCGGUGGGUACGGGCAGACUAGAGUGAUGUAGGGGAGACUGGAAUUCCUGGUGUAGCGGUGAAAUGCGCAGAUAUCAGGAGGAACACCGAUGGCGAAGGCAGGUCUCUGGGCAUUAACUGACGCUGAGGAGCGAAAGCAUGGGGAGCGAACAGGAUUAGAUACCCCAG
This 432-nucleotide ribosomal RNA is filed under the name uncultured Arthrobacter sp. RNAcentral describes it as "bacterial SSU rRNA". It matches the Rfam family "Bacterial small subunit ribosomal RNA", at positions 358 to 790 of the family's 1533-position model. Lineage: Bacteria; Bacillati; Actinomycetota; Actinomycetes; Micrococcales; Micrococcaceae. The record is from RNAcentral.